GGAUCGGUGGCCGAGUGGUUUAAGGCGCACGCCUGGAAAGCGUGUGGGCGGGAAACCGUCUCGAGAGUUCGAAUCUCUCCCGAUCCG
RNAcentral lists this transfer RNA (87 nucleotides) under uncultured Gemmatimonadaceae bacterium. RNAcentral describes it as "tRNA-Ser-GGA". It matches the Rfam family "tRNA". Rfam says of the family: Transfer RNA (tRNA) molecules are approximately 80 nucleotides in length. Their secondary structure includes four short double-helical elements and three loops (D, anti-codon, and T loops). The record is from RNAcentral. Lineage: Bacteria; Pseudomonadati; Gemmatimonadota; Gemmatimonadia; Gemmatimonadales; Gemmatimonadaceae.